CAGUUUCUGGAAGUGGCAGCUGGAAGUUUAGUGAACCUUAUCACUUAGAGGAAGGAGAAGUNGUAACAAGGUUUCCGUAGGUGAACCUGCGGAAGGAUCAUUCG
This 104-nucleotide ribosomal RNA is filed under the name Hematodinium sp. FE44,5b. Its description in RNAcentral is "partial 18S ribosomal RNA". It matches the Rfam family "Eukaryotic small subunit ribosomal RNA", at positions 1728 to 1831 of the family's 1831-position model. Lineage: Eukaryota; Dinophyceae; Syndiniales; Syndiniaceae. The record is from RNAcentral.